UAUCUCUGUAGAGUCUGCAUAUCAAUAAGCGGAGGAAAAGAAACUAACAAGGAUUCCCUUAGUAACGGCGAGUGGAGCGGGAAGAGCUCAAAUUUGAAAUCUUCAAGGUUCUACCUUGACGAAUUGUAGUUUAAAGAAGUGUUUUCUGUUAGAUGAGUAGCAGAAGUUCCUUGGAAUGGGACAUCAUAGAGGGUGAGAAUCCCGUAUUUGGUUAUUCAUUCUAGCUUUGUGAUACACUUUCGAAGAGUCGGAUUGUUUGGGAAUGCAGUCCAAAAUGGGUGGUAAAUUUCAUCUAAAGCUAAAUAUUGGCGAGAGACCGAUAGCGAACAAGUACCGUGAGGGAAAGAUGAAAAGAACUUUGAAAAGAGAGUUAAACAGUACGUGAAAUUGUCAAAGGGAAGCGUUUGACACCAGUGUUGUUUUUCCGAAAAUCAAUUACGAAUGGCUUGAUUUUGUGUUGUAUUGACCUUAUCAGCUUUCUUCACUUUUUUCGAGUCUUUCUUAAUGCACUUUUCGGUUAACAAGUCAACAUCAAUUUCUUUUGUUGUAAAAGAGUAUUCGGAAGGUGGCUUUCUUUUCGGAGAAAGUGUUUAUAGCCCUAUACUUCUACAAUCGGAGAGAUUGAGGUCUGCAGCGUAGAUCCUUCGGGGUUAGAUACACUUGUGCUAAGUUGUAGCUUUUCAUAGACAACUUGUUGACUAUGUUUAGUCAUGCGGCUUACUCGCUUAUGCUAUUUUACCUACGCUUAGGAUGUUGACUGAUAUGUAGUCGUA
Molecule: ribosomal RNA, 773 nt
Filed under: uncultured Neocallimastigales
Lineage: Eukaryota; Fungi; Neocallimastigomycota; Neocallimastigomycetes; Neocallimastigales
Description: partial large subunit ribosomal RNA
Rfam family: Eukaryotic large subunit ribosomal RNA
Source: RNAcentral